This 208-nucleotide long non-coding RNA is filed under the name Elaeis guineensis (African oil palm). RNAcentral's name for it is "long non-coding RNA (EGUI_LNC002162)". The record is from RNAcentral. Lineage: Eukaryota; Viridiplantae; Streptophyta; Magnoliopsida; Arecales; Arecaceae.
GGGGAUGAACAAACAAAAAUAGAGAUAAGGCCGAAAAAGGAAUAUGGUAUUUAAGGCAAUCCAAUGAUUGUACGCUCCAAUCAAGUCGGCAGUGAUGACUUUAGGGCUAUUAAAUAGGUAAAAGAAGGAUUAGAGCCUAUCACCUCUACUCCGAUAGGGUCUCGAGGUCAUCCUUUCCUGCAAACAUAGUGGUUGGGAUGCCACAGGA